This 253-nucleotide ribosomal RNA is filed under the name uncultured bacterium. Its description in RNAcentral is "partial 16S ribosomal RNA". It matches the Rfam family "Bacterial small subunit ribosomal RNA", at positions 524 to 776 of the family's 1533-position model. The record is from RNAcentral.
UACGGGGUAUGCAAGUGUUAUCCGGAAUCACUGGGCGUAAAGCGUCUGUAGGUGGUUAAAUAAGUCAACUGUUAAAUCUUGAGGCUUAACCUCAAAAUCGCAGUCGAAACUGUUUGACUAGAGUAUAGUAGGGGUAAAGGGAAUUUCCAGUGGAGCGGUGAAAUGCGUAGAUAUUGGAAAGAACACCGAUGGCGAAGGCACUUUACUGGGCUAUUACUAACACUGAGAGACGAAAGCUAGGGUAGCAAAUGGG